Molecule: ribosomal RNA, 519 nt
Filed under: uncultured bacterium
Lineage: Bacteria
Description: bacterial SSU rRNA
Rfam family: Bacterial small subunit ribosomal RNA
Source: RNAcentral
AGGGUUUGAUUAUGGCUCAGGAUGAACGCUAGCGGCACGCUUCAUACAUGCAAGUCGAGGGGCAGCAUAAAGUACUUGUACUUUGAUGGCGACCGGCGAACGGGUGCGUAACGCGUAUGCAACUUACCUUUUACUAGAGAAUAGCCAAGAGAAAUUUUGAUUAAUGCUCUAUACUCUUUUUAACUCACAUGAGUUUUUAAGAAAAGCUCCGGCGGUAAAAGAUGGGCAUGCGUCCUAUUAGCUUGUAGGUGAGGUAACGGCUCACCUAAGCUCCGAUAGGUAGGGGUCCUGAGAGGGAGAUCCCCCACACUGGUACUGAGACACGGACCAGACUUCUACGGAAGGCAGCAGUAAGGAAUAUUGGACAAUGGAGGAAACUCUGAUCCAGCGAUGCCGCGUGAAGGAAGACGGCCCUAUGGGUUGUAAACUUCUUUUAUACAGGAAGAAACCUUUCCACGUGUGGAAAGCUGACGGUACUGUAAGAAUAAGGAUCGGCUAACUCCGUGCCAGCCGCCGCGA